UUGCCUACGGGGCGCAGCAGUAGGGAAUCUUUCACAAUGGGCGAAAGCCUGAUGGAGCAACGCCGCGUGCAGGAUGAAGGCCUUCGGGUUGUAAAAUUCUGUUAUAAGGGAAGAAAGGUGAUAGGAGGAAAUGACUAUCAAUUGACGGUACCUUAUGAGAAAGCCACGGCUAACUACGUGCCAGCAGCCGCGGUAAUACGUAGGUGGCAAGCGUUAUCCGGAAUUAUUGGGCGUAAAGAGCGCGCAGGUGGUUAAUUAAGUCUGAUGUGAAAGCCCACGGCUUAACCGUGGAGGGUCAUUGGAAA
Molecule: ribosomal RNA, 305 nt
Filed under: uncultured bacterium
Lineage: Bacteria
Description: bacterial SSU rRNA
Rfam family: Bacterial small subunit ribosomal RNA
Source: RNAcentral